CUUUCCGGUCUACCCUGCUGCCAUGCAAUAAGUUGCAUCUACAAGAGCUCACAACAGUUGGAUGCAUACAUAGCUGAGUGUUAUUCCAUUGAGGCUUACAAGAAAAUUUACUCUCAUGUGUUGGAGCCAUUGGAAGGUCAGUCAAAUUGGCCAGUUGCUGAUCAUGUGAGGCCACAAGCAGCUGGUUACAUCAAAAUGCCAGGCAGGCCAAGUAAACAAAGGAAAAGAGAAGAAGGAGAAGCACCAAAAGGGAUAAAAAUGAGCAAGGUGGGUGGCCAAAUCACCUGCAGUUCAUGCAAUAGGACUGGCCAUAACAUGACAAGUUGCAAAAAUAAUGCUGCUGCAACUAAGCAU
Molecule: ribosomal RNA, 354 nt
Filed under: Triticum aestivum (bread wheat)
Lineage: Eukaryota; Viridiplantae; Streptophyta; Magnoliopsida; Poales; Poaceae
Description: partial small subunit ribosomal RNA
Source: RNAcentral